AGGAGACGACAUGGCGGCACAGUGACACAGCCUGGAGAUGGAAGCAGCAUGAGGAGGCCAUAAUCUGUCAGAAUGACACAGCCUGGAGAUGGUGGCAGCAUGAGGAGACCUGGAGGUGGUGGCAGCAUGAGGAGACCAUAUAGUGACUCAAUGACACAGCCUGGAAUUGGCAAAAACAUGAGGAGACCAUAUAGUGGCUGAAUGACACAGGCUGGAGCUGGCAUCAGCAUGAUGAGAACAUAUUGUGGCAGAAAGAGACAGAUUGGAGCUGGCAUAAACAUAAGGAGAACAUAUGGUGGCAGAAUGAGACAGUCUGGAGGUGGCAUCAGCAUGAGGAGAACAUAUAGUGGCAGAAUGAGACAGACUGGAGCUGGCAUAAGGAGAACAUAUGGUGGCAGAAUGAGACAGCCUGGAGCUGGCAUCAGCAUGAGGAGAACAUAUGGUGGCAGAAUUCUGAAAGUAACCCGGUGACAGAAUGUGGCGGUGAGUGGCAAUACCAGUACCCGUGACGAAGAGGAUGAGGAGCGGCUGGCAGAGUGAGGAACCAAUGAUGUCUAGGCAUCGAACUUUACAGAGGAAGAUGGAGCUGGAAGAAGAUCUGGCGUCUGGACCAGAUGAAGAAGAAAAGGAAAGACAACAGAGAAGAUGUCUCCUAGGAAGCCGGUGAGGGGAUCAUAGCGAGUGGACAUUGACUCAUGGACAAGCUGAUGGUGCUGCAGGACUGGUUAGUGUCCCAAUAGGUAUGGAGACCCCUUGUGUGGGAUUUUCAUGAGGCGUUUUCUUUAUUAAAUAUAAA
Long non-coding RNA from Hyla sarda, 796 nucleotides. RefSeq lists it as uncharacterized. The record is from RefSeq and is a predicted model, not a curated record. NCBI's taxonomy places the organism in Eukaryota, Metazoa, Chordata, Amphibia, Anura, Hylidae. The transcript has 3 exons.